UACGUAGGGUGCGAGCGUUGUCCGGAAUUACUGGGCGUAAAGAGCUCGUAGGUGGUUUGUCGCGUUGUUCGUGAAAACUCACAGCUCAACUGUGGGCGUGCGGGCGAUACGGGCAGACUGGAGUACUGCAGGGGAGACUGGAAUUCCUGGUGUAGCGGUGAAAUGCGCAGAUAUCAGGAGGAACACCGGUGGCGAAGGCGGGUCUCUGGGACGGUACUGACGCUGAGACGCGAAAGCGUGGGGAGCGAACAGG
RNAcentral lists this ribosomal RNA (253 nucleotides) under uncultured bacterium. Its description in RNAcentral is "partial 16S ribosomal RNA". It matches the Rfam family "Bacterial small subunit ribosomal RNA", at positions 524 to 776 of the family's 1533-position model. The record is from RNAcentral.